UUGCCCUGAUGUGGGGGAUAACCAUUGGAAACGAUGGCUAAUACCGCAUGAUAGCUUCGGCUCAAAGAGGGGGACCUUCGGGCCUCUCGCGUCAGGAUAUGCCCAGGUGGGAUUAGCUAGUUGGUGAGGUAAUGGCUCACCAAGGCGACGAUCCCUAGCUGGUCUGAGAGGAUGAUCAGCCACACUGGAACUGAGACACGGUCCAGACUCCUACGGGAGGCAGCAGUGGGGAAUAUUGCACAAUGGGCGCAAGCCUGAUGCAGCCAUGCCGCGUGUGUGAAGAAGGCCUUCGGGUUGUAAAGCACUUUCAGUCGUGAGGAAG
This 322-nucleotide ribosomal RNA is filed under the name bacterium PK42. RNAcentral describes it as "bacterial SSU rRNA". It matches the Rfam family "Bacterial small subunit ribosomal RNA", at positions 126 to 450 of the family's 1533-position model. The record is from RNAcentral.